AGUGGCGGACGGGUGAGUAACGCGUAGGAAUCUACCUGAUAGUGGGGGAUAGCCCGAAGAAAUUCGGAUUAAUACCGCAUAAUCUAUUCGUAGUAAAGUGGGGGACUUUCGAGCCUCACGCUAUCAGAUGAGCCUGCGUAAGAUUAGCUAGUUGGUAGGGUAAAAGCCUACCAAGGCUACGAUCUUUAGCUGGUCUGAGAGGAUGAUCAGCCACAUCGGGACUGAGACACGGCCCGAACUCCUACGGGAGGCAGCAGUGGGGAAUAUUGGACAAUGGGGGCAACCCUGAUCCAGCAAUACCGCGUGUGUGAAGAAGGCCUGAGGGUUGUAAAGCACUUUCAAUUGUGAAGAAAAGCUAGUGGUUAAUAGCCAUUAGCCUUGACGUUAACUUUAGAAGAAGCACCGGCUAACUCCGUGCCAGCAGCCGCGGUAAUACGGAGGGUGCAAGCGUUAAUCGGAAUUACUGGGCGUAAAGCGUGCGUAGGCGGUUUAUUAAGUCAGAUGUGAAAGCCCCGGGCUUAACCUGGGAACUGCAUUUGAAACUGGUCAACUAGAGUAUGGUAGAGGAAAGUGGAAUUUCUGGUGUAGCGGUGAAAUGCGUAGAUAUCAGAAGGACAUCAAUGGCGAAGGCAACUUUCUGACAAUUACUGACGCUGAAGUACGAAAGCGUGGGUAGCAAACGGGAUUAGAUACCCCGGUAGGUUU
Molecule: ribosomal RNA, 705 nt
Filed under: uncultured bacterium
Lineage: Bacteria
Description: bacterial SSU rRNA
Rfam family: Bacterial small subunit ribosomal RNA
Source: RNAcentral